AAACCAACCGGGAUUGCCUCAGUAACGGCGAGUGAAGCGGCAAAAGCUCAAAUUUGAAAUCUGGCACUUUCAGUGUCCGAGUUGUAAUUUGUAGAAGUAGUUUUGGGACUGGUCCUUAUCUAUGUUUCUUGGAACAGGACGUCAUAGAGGGUGAGAACCCCGUAUGAUGAGGCCCCCAGUCCUUUGUAAAACGCUUUCGAAGAGUCGAGUUGUUUGGGAAUGCAGCUCUAAGUGGGUGGUAAAUUCCAUCUAAAGCUAAAUAUUGGCGAGAGACCGAUAGCGAACAAGUACAGUGAUGGAAAGAUGAAAAGAACUUUGAAAAGAGAGUGAAAAAGUACGUGAAAUUGUUGAAAGGGAAGGGCAUUUGAUCAGACAUGGUGUUUUGCGCCCUUUGCUCCUUGUGGGCGAGGAUACGCAGCUCACUGGGCCAACAUCAGUUUUGGAGCAGGAUAAAUCUGUAGGACGUAGCUUUCUUCGGGAAGUGUUAUAGCCUAUGGGAAUACUGCUAACCUGGGA
Molecule: ribosomal RNA, 516 nt
Filed under: uncultured Hanseniaspora
Lineage: Eukaryota; Fungi; Ascomycota; Saccharomycetes; Saccharomycodales; Saccharomycodaceae
Description: eukaryotic LSU rRNA
Rfam family: Eukaryotic large subunit ribosomal RNA
Source: RNAcentral